This is a long non-coding RNA of Amphiprion ocellaris (clown anemonefish), 933 nucleotides long. The record is from Ensembl. NCBI's taxonomy places the organism in Eukaryota, Metazoa, Chordata, Actinopteri, Pomacentridae.
AUUAUUUGUUUGACUUACUUUCAGUUGUAAUAAAUUAUUUGGGUUAUUUUGGAAAGCGGACUCCUCCUGUUCUUUUGUCAUGGCCAUUGAGCCGGGUUAUGACAAAAUGGGGGCUCGUCCAGCUGUUUUGUUCCCGUUUUGGUUGCAAUGUGGACUCGGCGUGGAUCCUCGGCUGCAGUUUGUUUACGCAGGUAGCAGGAGAGUCAGUUAACAGGGAAACCGAACCAGUCUGUGAAGCCUGUUCCUCUGCAACCGAUACCAGCCGUAAGUGAACCUUUCGAACAUCUUAUAGUCGAUUGUGUUGGCCCUUUACCGUGUUCAAAAUCUGGCAGUAAGUAUCUUCUUACAGUGAUGUACCAAAGCAUGUUAUCCUGCUGCGUAUCUGCUGAGGUCCAUUACAGCUAAAUCUGUGGUAAAGGUGUGUGAUGGCCCGAUCUGCAACUUGGACCAUGCAGUGUUAGUAUCGUUUCUUUUCAUUUCAAACAAAUGGUCACCCACACAGUUUUGGUUAAAUGUUUAUUUAGCUUCUUUGAUUUACAUUGUGAUGGUGUUACCAAUUUGAGUGGACGCAUUUUGGUUACAUUUAGUCAUGAGUUCAUCAAAUUGGCUUAAAUUAUUAAUUCUUUGUACCUUUGUCUCUGUUGCUCCACAUGCUGCUGAGGUCCUGGCGAAAGGGAGAGGUGGAGUUUAAGAUGGCCUUUUAUGCUGGCAGUCAGGAACUGGAAGGUGCCAACUCCCAGUGCUGUGAAGGGGAGUGCUGAAGUGCAGAGGCCUCAAGAAAAGCAGCGUGUGUGCAGUUGUUUGAGUUUGGGGUGGUGGUGUUGUUUAAUAUGUAUAGGUAUUUGUAUUAUGUCUUUAUUAUGGCAGUUGGGUUUAUUUUGGGGUUUUAUAUGGUGUGAGGAAUAGGUCUCUCCCCCUUUUGUGUGUUUGUAG